RNAcentral lists this long non-coding RNA (6545 nucleotides) under Sus scrofa (pig). RNAcentral's name for it is "lncRNA (ENSSSCG00000056938.1)". The record is from RNAcentral. Lineage: Eukaryota; Metazoa; Chordata; Mammalia; Artiodactyla; Suidae.
UACUGGUGGAUUCAGGGGCAUGGUUGACUGUGGUCAGUUGUUAUAAAAGUGUUGACCCUUGUGCUUGGCAUGUCACAUAAAACUGGCCAGAGAAUGGAUGAGAUAUGGUGGCCGUAAAAGUCAUCACAUGAGCAAAGGAAAAAAAUAAAGCCAAGGCAGGAAUAUGUGAAAUAUAUUGGAAGUAUUUAGGAAGUUAAAAGACUUAAAAAAUAAAUAGAUAGAUAAAUAGAUAAAAUACGUCCAUAUGUAAGUAUAUUUAAAAUGAACACACAUGAAUAUAUGCUAUGCUAUAUAUGAAGUAUAUAUAUAAGAAAAUAACUUUUAUACUUAAACUUUUUUAAAAGGAUUUUAUAAAAAAAUGAGUUGUAUAAAAAUUUUUAAAAUAAUUCUGGUCCCUGCAAUCUUUUCCAUCCCCUCAUAUCUCCAGCAGUUAACAGUAAUCAUUAAUGAUCAGUUGUUCUAUUUUUAUACACAUACUCUAAACCCACUCAUAAACACAGUGUUAGUUGUUUUUGUGCUUAAUAAAAAUGAUAUCCUAGUAUAGAUAAUUUUUUAUAAAUUGUUUUUUCACUCAAAUCAGUCUUCUUCCAUGAGAAUAUAUACAAAUUACACUUAUUUUUAAUAGUUUUAUCUUAUUAAAUAGUAUGAAUGAUUAUAAUUAAACCAGCCUACUUUAUUUCAUGUGUGUGUUUUUCAGUGUGCAAUAUACAACUGUUGCGUAAAUAUUUGUUAAAUAUACACUCUGCUUCCUCCUUUUAUUAUUUUCCCACAAGUCUCUUUCACUCACAUUUCUUAGUUGUGCGUUAUUAUCUUCAGUUCCUGAGAUGAAAAAUUAAAUAAUCAAAAGGGGAAGUAGUUGCUGUGGUAAAUGUAUGUUUGACCUGAGAGCAAGUUUGCUUGCUUUUUUAAACUUCUGUUUAUAAAUUUGUUUGUUUGUUUUUAUAUUGAUAAAGCCCAUUUCAAGAAAUCAAAUGAUAAAAUAUUAGACUUGGGAAACUCUGAAAUGUUAUUCAGGGUGACUUCCUACUUCAUGCAGAACCCUUCCCUGUAGGCCUUUUUACCUUCCUGUAAUUUUUACACAACUUCUUUCUCUGCCUGAAAUGACCUUUAUAGCUCCUUCAUGUAACUCUCUCUAUGCUUUAAAAUUCAACUGGUGGAGUUCCUUUGUGGUGCAGCAGGUUUAGGAUCUGACACUGUCACUGCAGCAGUUUGGGUUGCUCCUGUGGUGUGGGUUUGAUCCCUGGUACAGUAACUUCCACAUGCCUAGGGCACAGCAAAAAAACCCCCCAAAAAACAAAAAAACAACCAUUUGAUUGUAACACCACCUCCGAGAAGCCUUCUCUGAUUGCCCCAAGAAAAUAAGAUUUCCUUCUGGCACUCAAAGAGCCCCCUCUGUUUGCAAUGAUCAGUAUAUUUUUCACUUAUUGUUGUAAUGGUGAGUGUGUUUUUCUAUUUCCUCUGCUAGAUUUUAACCUCCUUCAUUGGAAAGAAAUCUGUUUUUUUUUUUUUUUCAUUCACUUCUGUGUUUCCAAUCUAGAGAAGUACUAAUACCAUUUUUUUAGUAAAAUGACUGACUAAAUAAACAUAUAGGCUACCUUCUUUUUUGUCUUCUUCCUAGCUAUGUGUGUGUCUGCUAUUUUAAUAGACAAUCGAUGCAUGUGGUGCAUCAGUUUGAGGAAUAGAAUGCUUGUUAGAAAUUAAAUAAAGGUCCUUAACAUUAGAUGAUCUUACCAAUAAGAAAGUGUCUGUGUUGCGAAUGAGGAGGGAGGGAGGUGGUUAUUUUUGCAGGGAUGGCUUGUUUGCUUCCACUUAUGGAUGGAGAGAGAUAACCUAGGCUUCAUUCUGUUUGCCAUCUUAAUGUGAAACCAUGCAGCUCAUAUCUGCAUGUCUUUCUCUAAUUAAAGAGUUAUCUUCAGGCAACAAAUCAGCAGCUGUCAAGGGAAUGCCAGAAUGAGUCAUUGAUUUGCAAUCAGGAUAGCCAUGCUGAUGGAUUCACCAAUUCUUCAGGGCCUCUGGGAGUUCACCUGCUUGUCACAUAGUGUAGCACUUUGGUUGCUAGCUUUGAAAUGAGAAAUGUCCCUUCACUGUGACUCAAGUUGAUUGCCCCCCUGUCACCAGGUUUUAGCUUCUAGGAAAAGUUUGUACCUUUCACUCAAAAAAGUACUGUUAGAGCUCAGGGUUAAAAGAUUCACUUUGAUGUUUUCCCCAGAUAAGCUGUGAUGGUAAAGACAUUCUUAUAUAAGCAACUGAGGUUCCACCGAUGUGGAAAAAUAUGAACCCAUUCUCCCAAAUACCAGGUGGUUCAACAUAAUCCAGAAUGAUAAUUAUUUCUUGAUUAUGAAAUGGCCAAGAACCUGAGAAACCAUCUAAUCAUACUUCAGUGGAAACUGAAGCCCAAAGGGGUAAGAGUUUCUGUAGGCUCUCAGCCAGAACCAGCUGACACAGGCUCAAAUCCAAGCCUGAUGCACUUAUCACUUUAUCAGAAAUUCAUACUUUCUUCUUCUUUCUCUUCUAGGCUGGUCCUGGAGGUUUAUAUGACUGACGUGGGCAGUCAGGAUACUGAAUGGUUAGGCAAGUUUGUGAAAAAGGCAUCCUGGGUCUUUAUUUCUUCUCUUUCUACUUUUAGAAGUUAUUUAGUAUAGCUUUUAAGUGUAGAAACCUUGAAGCCAGACCAUAGGGUUAGAAUCUAGGAUUCAUCUCUUACGAGGUAAAGGAAUCGAGUGUGUUAAUCUUUCUGUGCCUCUGUGUGCUUAGCACUAAAACGGGGUUCUCAUAUGGUGGUUGAGACGUUUGAAAGAGUUCAUCAAAGCCAAGUGCUUAGAACAGUGACUGGCACAGAUUAAUUCUUCCGAAAAUAUUACCUGUGCUUGUUCAUAGGCAUGGGUGGGAACAGGAUGAGAAUUACCAUCUUCCCAUCUCUAGCUUCAUAAUUAGAAUUAAAGUGAGCUCAUUGUUUUGCUGUAUGUUUCCAUCUCCUUUGUUUGGGUGUAACCUUAGGUCCUCUGCUUAUAUCUGAAUUUUAGGGGAAUAAAUAUAGAAUGGUAUCUACCUAAGAGCAUGGAUUUGGGUGUUGGUCAUACUGCAUUUUUAGAAUGACUGAAGUGAGCCCAUUUGUUUGCCAGAACUGCUACCUAAGGUCUUAUGGACCUUAUAGAAUAUGUAUGUAUCGACAUUGUAACACUGAUUUGUCUCCAUCAGACAACCGUUUAGUUAGAGAAAGAUUUGCAGAUAUGAGCUGCAUGGCUUCACAUUAAGAUAUCAAAUAGUAAUGUCGUAGAGGCUAAGAGAUCCACUUUAUAGCAAAGACAGGGUGCAAGUUUAUGUAUGUAGAAUCCACUUGCUGUCUUAUAUACCACACCACUCAGAAGCUAAUGACCUAUUACAGCCAUAGACUGUUGUUAAAGGCACAGCUAAGGCACUGCCUUGGAGACAUGGGGUAUCAUCUUGUAGGAUACCACAUCACCUUAUAUCAAUAUUCACUAUAUUAUGCUGUCUCCAAGGAAUAGAAUAUAUGGACCUGAGAUACCAUAGGUGUGGACAGGAAGGACUACACUUUUCAUUAUUUCCAAUGUUCCACUGGGGGAAUUCGUGGGCACCCAAAUCCUCUCAAGUCUCUACUCUUCUGGAUUAGAAGUUAUGGUCCUCAGAGAGGGAAAGCCUUCCCCCAGACAAUCAGCAAGAGUUCCAUUGAAUGUUGAGCUAAGACUGCUACCCAAGUAUUGUAGGCUCCUCCUGCCUUGGGACCAAUAGGGAGGAAUAAAUUCACAAUCUUGGUGGGAGUAAUUGACCUGGGUCAUGACAAGAAGGAAGGGCUACUGUCACAAAAUGGAAACAGAAAGAAAUAUGUUAGAUUAUCCAGUUGUAUAUCUCUUAGUUUGCCCUUUUUGAUGACACAUGGAUAAGUGGUCAGUGCUUUCAGAUGACACUGGAAUAUUUAUUUAUGUAUCCCUGAGACUACUCAGGGAUGAGUCUUGCUCACUGCACAGGGUGCACCAUCAAGACCUGCAGAGAUGCUGGCUGAGAGUGAGGGGGGUCCAGAAUGGAUAGAAAUGGGUGAAGAUAAUGAUAGUUAAGACCCAGUUGUAGGAGCUGGGGCUGCAGUUCAUCCUCUUAGUCUCCUUCUUGUGAUUUUCUACCAGCAGAAGAGGCCUACCCAGAGCCUUGAACUGAUAAGAUGCAAGUACAUUCAAAUGUCCUCAGGGGUUAACUCUGGUAGAGUCUGUAUUGUGCUUCAGUGAUCUCUCUUUUAGGAUUGAUAUAGUCAUCCAACUGCUGAUCAGAUUUCAGGCUGAAAACGUUCAGUUAUCAGAUGAGGAAGAUUGACUCAUCCCAUUUUGCAGGGGAUCCCAUUUCCAGGGGAUCUCAUUUCCAGUUAUGGAUGAUCUCAGUGGUAUACAGCUGGACCCCUCACCCUAACUUGUGACAAUCCUGAAGGACUGUCCCAGCUCCAGAGCUCCCUGCAGGGUUGGCUGAGGCCUUAAUUGGUUCUGCAGUGUAGCCUGACUUCUGGCUCUGUUCAAUCCUGCUUUCUUUUUCUCUUCCUUCCAGAUAUUAAUACUAAAAGCUGUCUCUAAUAAACUUCCUGCAUGCUGAUCUUUAUCUCAGAGUUCCUGGGGACUUCUACCAAGGAUGUUAUCUGAAUAUAGACCCACAUAAGUAGGAAACAAGUUAGGCACAAGAUAUUCAUUUCAGCAGUGAUUAUAAGAAUAAAAUGCCAUUAGCAAGGCUGAUCUGCUCACUGAAUAAAUGAUGGUACAUUCAAAACACAAUACCACACAACCAUCAAAAAUAAUAAAGAAGAUCUCCAUGAAGUAUCCGGAGAUACUCCAUAUUUUAAGGUGAAAAAGUAAACAAAGAAAGGCUCAGAACAAUGUAUACAAUAUGCAACCUUUUGUAUAAAAAAGAGGAGAUAAAAAUAUAAAAAUAAUUAUUUGCCUAGUUUGAUGUAAAAGAUAAAAUAAUAAAUGAAAAUGGCUAUGUAUAGAGGAUGAGUGUGAAUGAAAUGGGAAGAAAAUAUAUAAGACUAGAAUUCUCUGAAUUUUAUAAUUUUAAGGACCUUUGAUACAUGUAAACUUUUCACAUAAUCAGAAAAUAAAAAUAAAUUUGAAAACAUGAUAAGACUUAAAAUUGAACUUAAAUAUCAACAAAUAAACAUAACUGCACUUUAAAUUGACAACAUAAACACAUAAAGGCAGUAAUUACUUCAAGAAACAGUGGAACACAAUACUCCAUUUAGCCCUAAUAAGAUAUAUUUUAAGGGAAAAAAAAACAUAGAAAACAAUUAGAUUUUACUUUGUGGGGUUGUUAAUAACAAUUUGGAGAUUUCAAUUUGCGAUUGUACUGAAUAUAUUGUAAAAUAGAAUAAUUAAUUGAUAUUAUUAAAAACAAUGGGAAAGAACAUACAAAGAUAAAAGAUAUUUUGAGAAGCCCUGCCUGUAAUGUUUUUAAACUGGUAAUAGCUAUGAAUUCAGAAUUCAAAUUCUGAAAAAAACUAUAUAUGUACACAUACAUAUAUAUACACAUAUAUAAAUUUACAUAUAUGUAAAUCUGUACAUUUAAAUAAUAUAUACUACUUAAAUAUUAUAAAUAUACAAAUUAAUAUAGUUUUAAAUGUAUUGUUUAGAUAAUAUCAAAAUUCAAAUUUUCCAAUUCAAAAUUAACAUUGAUAAUUAAUAAUAAUAAAUAUUAACAUGUUGUGAGCUCUCUAUGGACAAAACCACAUGGCGGGUGGCUAUGGGUUGCCUAUAGCCAGCAGUUCUCAAAACACCGAGACCCUCAAUCUGGCAGCUACAAGAAGCUAAAUGCUGCCAUUAACCACAUGAACUUGGAAGUCCUUCCCCAGCUGAGUCUCAGCUGAGACCACAUCCCUGACCUAUGUCUUGACUGCCCCAUGUGUGACUCUGAUAGAGAAGUCCAAGCUAAGCCAUGACCAUUCCAGACCCAGAGAAAAUGUGAGGUGAUAAAUGUGUUGUUUUAAUCCUCUAUGAUUGUCAUUAAUUUUCUUAAGCAGCAUUCCAUAACUAAUCAAUUUGCUCCUUGACCAAGUGAUGGAAAUCCGCAUCAGUAAUAUCGGCACACUGUAAGAAUAGUUGUCUCCUGUUGUGAUUCCAUGUGAGGUUUCUUAUAUCACCUAUGAAAUGAGUGAUUUUGCCAAAUAAUAUUUAACUCAAAACUCAUCAAAUCCUUAGUUCUAAAUUCCAUUUUAUAGAAAAUACAGGUGCUAGAAAGAUAAGGUAAGUUAAACCAUAAGGAAAGUCAGCAGAAUCCAGAAUGUUGUAACAUCUUUCAUGUCAACUGGCAUAAACACUUGUGAAAAAGAGAGGUGAGGAGGUGACAGAAAAAUAGUAGGAAUUAAAGAGAUUAUGGAGGCAAAAGGGUCAAAAUAUAGUGUAUAAGCUAGGUUUUGUUCCUGGGUCAAUAUGAUAAAAAUAAACAAACCAUGGAGAAAUCUAGACAUCAACUGGAGAUCAGAUGAUAUUAGGAAAUGCUUGAAAAUCUUCUUGGUUUGAUGACAUUAUUGUAAUCAUGUGAUGAAUCGUCCUUAU